This 146-nucleotide transfer-messenger RNA is filed under the name Bacteroidota bacterium. Its description in RNAcentral is "Bacteroidetes bacterium (anaerobic digester metagenome) partial transfer-messenger RNA". It matches the Rfam family "transfer-messenger RNA", at positions 225 to 374 of the family's 374-position model. From Rfam's summary of the family: Bacterial tmRNA, also known as 10Sa RNA or SsrA, is named for its dual tRNA and mRNA-like properties. Its role is to liberate the mRNA from a stalled ribosome. To accomplish this part of the tmRNA is used as a reading frame that ends in a translation stop signal. The record is from RNAcentral. Lineage: Bacteria; Pseudomonadati; Bacteroidota.
GUGCAACAGUAAGAAAACAAGAGCUAAGGAUAAAUUCGACCUGCAGGUAGUCUUUUUUUAUCCCUACAAUUAAAUACCGGCUAAGCAUGUAGAAAGUGUAUGGAUUCCAUAUCUGGACGUGAGUUCAAAUCUCACCGGCUCCACUU